GACGAACGCUGGCGGCGUGCCUAAUACAUGCAAGUAGAACGCACAGUUUAUACCGUAGCUUGCUACACCAUAGACUGUGAGUUGCGAACGGGUGAGUAACGCGUAGGUAACCUGCCUGGUAGCGGGUGAUAACUAUUGGAAACGAUAGCUAAUACCGCAUAAUAUUAAUUAUUGCAUGAUAAUUAAUUGAAAGGUGCAAUUGCACCACUACCAGAUGGACCUGCGUUGUAUUAGCUAGUAGGUGAGGUAACGGCCCACCUAGGCGACGAUACAUAGCCGAACUGAGAGGGUGAUCGGCCACACUGGGAAUGAGACACGGCCCAGACUCCUAAGGGAGGCAGCAGGAGGGAAUCUUCGGCAAUGGACGAAAGGCUGACCGAGCAACGCCGCGGGAGGGAAGAAGGGUUUCGGAUCGUAAAGCUCUGUUGUAAGAGAAGAAAGGGUGUGAGAGUGGAAAGUUCACACUGUGACGGUAUCUUACCAGAAAGGGACGGCUAACUACGUG
Molecule: ribosomal RNA, 505 nt
Filed under: uncultured bacterium
Lineage: Bacteria
Description: partial 16S ribosomal RNA
Rfam family: Bacterial small subunit ribosomal RNA
Source: RNAcentral